Non-coding RNA from Caerostris darwini, 112 nucleotides. The record is from the annotation of a GenBank genome assembly. Lineage: Eukaryota; Metazoa; Arthropoda; Arachnida; Araneae; Araneidae.
UUCGGCCGUACCAUGCUGAAUAUACCGGUUCUCGUUAGAUCACCGAAGUCAAGCAUCAUUGGGCGCGGUCAGUACUUGGGUGGGUGACCACCUGGGAACACUGCGUGCCGUU